ACAAGCGGCGGAGCAUGUGGAUUAAUUCGAUGCAAACGCGAAGAACCUUUACUGGGUUUGACAUACACCGGAAAACCGUAGAGAUACGGUCCCCCUUGUGGUCGGUGUACAGGUGGUGCAUGGCUGUCGUCAGCUCGUGUCGUGAGAUGUUGGGUUAAGUCCCGCAACGAGCGCAACCUUUGUCUUAUGUUGCCAGCACGUGAUGGUGGGGACUCGUAAGAGACUGCCGGGGUCAACUCGGAGGAAGGUGGGGACGACGUCAAGUCAUCAUGCCCCUUAUGUCCAGGGCUUCACACAUGCUACAAUGGCCAGUACAGAGGGCUGCGAGACCGUGAGGUGGAGCGAAUCCCUUAAAGCUGGUCUCAGUUCGGAUCGGGGUCUGCAACUCGACCCCGUGAAGUCGGAGUCGCUAGUAAUCGCAGAUCAGCAACGCUGCGGUGAAUACGUUCCCGGGCCUU
Molecule: ribosomal RNA, 458 nt
Filed under: uncultured Rhodococcus sp.
Lineage: Bacteria; Bacillati; Actinomycetota; Actinomycetes; Mycobacteriales; Nocardiaceae
Description: bacterial SSU rRNA
Rfam family: Bacterial small subunit ribosomal RNA
Source: RNAcentral